This 460-nucleotide ribosomal RNA is filed under the name uncultured bacterium. Its description in RNAcentral is "partial 16S ribosomal RNA". It matches the Rfam family "Bacterial small subunit ribosomal RNA", at positions 338 to 795 of the family's 1533-position model. The record is from RNAcentral.
CCUACGGGUGGCAGCAGUGAGGAAUAUUGGUCAAUGGGCGAGAGCCUAAACCAGCCAAGUCGCGUGAAGGAUGACGGCCCUACGGGUUGUAAACUUCUUUUGUCAGGGAGCAAUUGAGUCCACGUGUGGUCUUAGCGAGAUUACCUGCAGAAAAAGCAUCGGCUAACUCCGUGCCAGCAGCCGCGGUAAUACGGAGGAUGCGAGCGUUAUCCGGUUUUAUUGGGUUUAAAGGGUGCGUAGGCGGAAGAUCAAGUCAGCGGUAAAAAUUCGGGGCUAAACCCAGUCGUGCCGUUGAAACGGAUGGUCUUGAGUGGGCGAGAAGUAGGCGGAAUGCGGGGUGUAGCGGUGAAAUGCAUAGAUAUCACGAAGAACUCCGAUUGCGAAGGCAGCAUACCGGCGCCCAACUGACGCUGAAGCACGAAAGCGUGGGUAUCGAACAGGAUUAGAUACCCGGGUAGUC